RNAcentral lists this ribosomal RNA (492 nucleotides) under uncultured bacterium. RNAcentral's name for it is "partial 16S ribosomal RNA". It matches the Rfam family "Bacterial small subunit ribosomal RNA", at positions 29 to 507 of the family's 1533-position model. The record is from RNAcentral.
AGUGGACGCUGGCGGUAGGCCUAACACAUGCAAGUCGAACGGCAGCACAGUAAGAGCUUGCUCUUACGGGUGGCGAGUGGCGGACGGGUGAGGAAUACAUCGGAAUCUACUUUUUCGUGGGGGAUAACGUAGGGAAACUUACGCUAAUACCGCAUACGACCUACGGGUGAAAGCAGGGGAUCUUCGGACCUUGCGCGAUUGAAUGAGCCGAUGUCGGAUUAGCUAGUUGGCGGGGUAAAGGCCCACCAAGGCGACGAUCCGUAGCAGGUCUGAGAGGAUGAUCAGCCACACUGGAACUGAGACACGGUCCAGACGCCUACGGGAGGCAGCAGUGGGGAAUAUUGGACAAUGGGCGCAAGCCUGAUCCAGCCAUACCGCGUGGGUGAAGAAGGCCUUCGGGUUGUAAAGCCCUUUUGUUGGGAAAGAAAAGCAGCAGGUUAAUACCCCGCUGUUCUGACGGUACCCAAAGAAUAAGCACCGGCUAACUUCGUG